GUGCCAGCCGCCGCGGUAAUACGGAGAGUGCAAGCGUUGUUCGGAAUUACUGGGCGUAAAGGGCGUCUAGGCGGCGUGUCAAGUCAUGUGUGAAAUCCCUCGGCUCAACCGAGGACGUGCACCUGAAACUGGCAGGCUUGAGUCCUGGAGGGGGCAGCGGAAUUCCCGGUGUAGAGGUGAAAUUCGUAGAUAUCGGGAGGAACACCAGUGGCGUAGGCGGCUGCCUGGCCAGAGACUGACGCUAAAGCGCGAAAGCGUGGGUAGCAAACAGGAUUAGAUACCCUGGUAGCCCACGCCGUAAACGAUGGGUACUAGCUAUACUGGGUGUUGACCCCCGGUGUGGCGUAGCUAACGCGUUAAGUACCCCGCCUGGGGAGUACGGCCGCAAGGUUAAAACUCAAAGGAAUUGGCGG
Molecule: ribosomal RNA, 413 nt
Filed under: uncultured bacterium
Lineage: Bacteria
Description: bacterial SSU rRNA
Rfam family: Bacterial small subunit ribosomal RNA
Source: RNAcentral